Molecule: ribosomal RNA, 406 nt
Filed under: uncultured bacterium
Lineage: Bacteria
Description: partial 16S ribosomal RNA
Rfam family: Bacterial small subunit ribosomal RNA
Source: RNAcentral
AUUGAACACUGGCGGCAUGCUUAACACAUGCAAGUCGAGCGAGCGGCGGACGGGUGAGUAAUUUCUGGGAAACUGCCUGAUGGAGGGAGAUAACUACUGGAAACGGUAGCUAAUACCGCAUACCAUCAGAUGUGCCCAGAUGGGAUUAGCUAGUAGGUGGGGUAAUGGCUCACCUAGGAGACGAUCCCUAGGUGAUCUGAGAGGAUGACCAGCCACACUGGAACUGAGACACGGUCCAGACUCCUACGUGAGGCAGCAGUGGGGAAGAUUGCACAAUGGGCGCAAGCCUGAUGCAGCCAUGCCGCGUGGGUGAAGAAGGCCUUCGGGUUGUAAAGCACUUUCAGCGAGGAGGCGUUACUCGCAGAAGAAGCACCGGCUAACUCCGUGCCAGCCGCCGCGGUAAUUC